UUUGCUUCAGCAGUACAUGUUAAAAUUUGAAAAAUAUACAGUACAUUAACAUAACCCUUGCGCAAGAUGACACACAAAUUCGUGAAGCAUUCUUCUCUUAA
Cavia aperea (Brazilian guinea pig) is the source of this 101-nucleotide small nuclear RNA. The record is from Ensembl. Lineage: Eukaryota; Metazoa; Chordata; Mammalia; Rodentia; Caviidae.